GGGGUUCUAGCUCAUCGGUAGAGCGCUCGCUUAGCAUCCCCCGCGGUGUGUGCGAGAGGUACUGGAUUCGACUCCCAGGUACUCCA
RNAcentral lists this transfer RNA (86 nucleotides) under Puccinia triticina 1-1 BBBD Race 1. RNAcentral describes it as "Puccinia triticina tRNA PTTG_20327". It matches the Rfam family "tRNA". From Rfam's summary of the family: Transfer RNA (tRNA) molecules are approximately 80 nucleotides in length. Their secondary structure includes four short double-helical elements and three loops (D, anti-codon, and T loops). Lineage: Eukaryota; Fungi; Basidiomycota; Pucciniomycetes; Pucciniales; Pucciniaceae. The record is from RNAcentral.